This 65-nucleotide transfer RNA is filed under the name Dipodomys ordii (Ord's kangaroo rat). It matches the Rfam family "tRNA". From Rfam's summary of the family: Transfer RNA (tRNA) molecules are approximately 80 nucleotides in length. Their secondary structure includes four short double-helical elements and three loops (D, anti-codon, and T loops). Lineage: Eukaryota; Metazoa; Chordata; Mammalia; Rodentia; Heteromyidae. The record is from Rfam by way of RNAcentral.
GGUGGCUCACUGGUAGAGCACUUGCCUUGCAUGCAUGAGGUCCUGGGUUCAAUUCCUCAGCACCG